AUGGAGUGCCUUGGUUUUAUGGCUUCAUCAUGCUUAAUACAGAAUGAUUUUAUAUGCUGCAUGAAAUCUCUGUUGGUCAAUAUGUUGGAGUGUCGUACGAGCAAGGUUUACAUUGACACCUGCCUGGUAUCUAACUCGAGCCCAGAUUCCGAUCUUGAUCGUUUGGCAUACACUUCAGGUCGUUUCAUAUAUCAGACAAUUAUGGCUAUCUUGACGAGCAAGCAUAUGCUCCAGGAAUGGGUACAUAAAACUUCAUGUCCUUCUAGUACUUCAUACAAACCGGUCCUCCUUAGACUAGUUGUUACACUUUAUCCACUGAUCCUUACUCUUUCUCUGGGGAAUUGCUACGAGGUCACACAUAACCUCCUGGGGAAUGAAGUGUUUAAGGAUUUACCUGUGGAGUUCUCUCAGAAGAUUGUACAUGCUUUGCAAAUUAAGUCUCGCACACCAAGCAACUUCACAAGAGUGCUUGCUAAUGCACUCGCCGCAAUCGGAGAUAAUAUGGUAGUUAUUGCCUUAUUGGUACACCCAAGAGCCCGGUAG
Molecule: ribosomal RNA, 543 nt
Filed under: Triticum aestivum (bread wheat)
Lineage: Eukaryota; Viridiplantae; Streptophyta; Magnoliopsida; Poales; Poaceae
Description: partial small subunit ribosomal RNA
Source: RNAcentral